RNAcentral lists this microRNA precursor (102 nucleotides) under Marmota monax (woodchuck). Lineage: Eukaryota; Metazoa; Chordata; Mammalia; Rodentia; Sciuridae. The record is from RNAcentral.
AGUGGGAUUGCUGGGUCAAAUGGUGAUUCCAUCUGAGUUUUCUGAGGAAUCUCCAUAUUGCUUUCUAUAAUGGUAGCACCAAUUUUCAGUCCUACCAGCAAC